AUUUCACCUAUGAGUUCCAGAAAUUACCCAGGGGGUCCCACUUAAAUCAGGCCUAAUCAUGUUAACAUGACAAAAAAUUGCCCCUAUCUCUAUCACAUACCAAAUUGCAUCUUCCAUAAACCCCACACUCAUACUAUUUAUAGUAACCCUAUCAAUUAUACUAGGAGGCUGGGGAGGACUUAACCAAACUCAACUACGAAAGAUAGCUCAUAUAGGAUGAAUAAUAGCAAUUAUUACAUAUAAUCCAACCCUGACAAUAUUUAACCUAAUCAUCUAUAUCAUACUUACUAUUAACAUAUUUAUGCUCCUUCUUUAUUAUAAAAAAACUACUACCCUCUCCCUAUCAAACCUAUGAAAUAAAUUUNAUCAUUUAUACUUACUAUUGCCCUUUCAAUAAAGAUAGGACUCGCCCCAUUUCACCUAUGAGUUCCAGAAAUUACCCAGGGAAUCCCACUUAAAUCAGGCCUAAUCAUAUUAACAUGACAAAAAAUUGCCCCAAUCUCUAUUGCAUACCAAAUUGCAUCUUCCAUAAACUCCACACUCAUACUAUUUAUAGGAACCUUAUCAAUCAUACUAGGAGGCUGAGGAGGACUUAACCAAACCCAACUAUGAAAGAUCCUAGCAUAUUCAUCAAUCGCCCAUAUAGGAUGAAUAAUAGCAAUUAUUACAUAAAAUCCAACCCUAACAAUAUUUAACCUAAUCAUCUAUAUCAUACUUACUAUUAACAUAUUUAUGCUUCUCCUUUAUUAUAAAAAAACUACUACCCUCUCCCUAUCAAAUUUAUGAAAUAAAUUUCCUCUUCUAACACCUACAGUUUUAAUUGUAUUAAUAUCAUUAGGAGGUUUACCUCCCCUAACAGGAUUUACACCAAAAUGAAUUAUUCUUAAAGAACUUAUUUCAAAUAACAACAUUAUUUUCUCUACACUUAUAGCAAUACUAGCACUCCUAAACCUAUAUUUCUAUACUCGACUAAUCUAUUCAACAUCCCUAACCCUAUUUCCAUCAUUUAACAACACCAAAAUAAAAUGACAAUUCGAAGGUGUAAAACUCACACCUCUUUUACCAAUCUUUAUCAUUAUUUCUAUCCUCUCUCUCCCAUUAAUACCCAUACUCUCACUCCUGAACUAGGAAUUUAGGUUAAUUUAGACCAAGGACCUUCAAAGUCCUAAGCAAGUACCCAACACUUAAUUCCUGCACUAAGGACUGCAAGAUUUUAUCUUACAUCAAAUUAAAGCAUAUUUGGAGUUGGAGGCUCAGCCAGAUCAUAAGAUUGCAUAGACAGCUAGACUUACAUCAACUGAAUGCAAAUCAAUCACUUUAAUUAAGCUAAGCCCUUCAUUUCUAGAUUGAUGGGAUUUAAACCCAUAAAAUCUUAGUUAACAGCUAAAUGCCUUACUCAACUGGCUUAUGAUCAAAUCUACAAUGUUAUUGUUACCGCCCAUGCAUUUGUUAUAAUUUUCUUCAUAGUUAUGCCGAUCAUAAUUGGUGGAUUUGGGAACUGACUAGUACCCCUAAUAAUCGGAGCUCCUGAUAUAGCAUUUCCACGUAUAAAUAACAUAAGCUUCUGACUUCUCCCCCCUUCCUUCCU
RNAcentral lists this long non-coding RNA (1588 nucleotides) under Marmota monax (woodchuck). Lineage: Eukaryota; Metazoa; Chordata; Mammalia; Rodentia; Sciuridae. The record is from RNAcentral.